UCAAAUUAUUUUCUAGAAGUGACUUUUUUGUGAAUUUUCGAUCCAAAACCGAAUCAAAAUGCUCGAAACUGGAUACGACAAUUGAAUGCCAGCUGACUGUAUGUGAUUGGUCGGAGAUUUGGACAGUACUCGCGUGUAUAUGCCCAUGCACGCAGCUGUAUAUGCAUGUACUAGCACUAUGACC
Long non-coding RNA from Octopus sinensis (East Asian common octopus), 184 nucleotides. RefSeq lists it as uncharacterized. NCBI's taxonomy places the organism in Eukaryota, Metazoa, Mollusca, Cephalopoda, Octopoda, Octopodidae. The transcript is spliced from 3 exons. The record is from RefSeq and is a predicted model, not a curated record.